AUUUUGAAGCCACCGAAUCAGGCCUCAAACGGCACCGUUUUGUGAUUCUUAUAACAUUAAAGAAAAAACCCUAAAUACAUAUUUGGCUAUUUUAAAACAGAUUUAAAGUAAGAGAAGUGCUUCAUUCCCCUCCGCCGUUCGACGCCUCUCCAUUUCAAUCUCCGGAAUCCCUAUCCAAGUUUCGACUGUGACGAAGUGGACG
Molecule: long non-coding RNA, 202 nt
Filed under: Gossypium raimondii (Peruvian cotton)
Lineage: Eukaryota; Viridiplantae; Streptophyta; Magnoliopsida; Malvales; Malvaceae
Description: long non-coding RNA (GRAI_LNC004034)
Source: RNAcentral